RNAcentral lists this long non-coding RNA (1181 nucleotides) under Cairina moschata (Muscovy duck). RNAcentral's name for it is "domestica (muscovy Duck (domestic type)) lncRNA (ENSCMMG00000016751.1)". Lineage: Eukaryota; Metazoa; Chordata; Aves; Anseriformes; Anatidae. The record is from RNAcentral.
CUGGCUAUCCGUUAGUAUCUGUUUAUAUUAGCUAAUAAUACCAUAUUUGAUAAAAAAAUAUUGAUGUAUCAGUCAUGUUCCUGUGUUGCUUUAUAGGGUGAUAAAGGUGAACCUGGACUACAGGGGAAACCAGGAUCACCAGGAGCCAAGGGAGAUCUAGGAGGACCUGGUGCCCCAGGUGAACCAGGCUACCCAGGCAUUCCUGGUACCCAGGGUAUAAAGGUAAGCAGUUUUUUUCUGGUCUUAUAUUGCUUCCAUCUUCUAUUGGAAGUGCUUCUUCUAUAAGUGGUCAUAAUCAAUGAAAAUGAUUUUCCUUUUUUUUUUUUUUAAUAUGUAAUUAUUAUUAGAGACUAUUUAGUAUAUAUUGGAAGGUCCAUUUGCUAGAAAAACCAUCAGCAUUUUUUAGGGAGGAGAGAAUGACCAAAAGGGAGAAACUGUUAACAUAAAGUGUUGUGAUAUAGGUGUAUUAAUGAAAUUUUCAUUAUGAAUUAUAAUACAUAAUAGUAUGAUCUGUGAUUCCAUAUUUACUUCAUAAUAUAUUGUCUUACAUCAUUAUAUCUGCAAAUUCUAUUGUGCAAAGUCUUCUGUGGAUCUCUCCUAAGAACUGGAGCAAUUAAUCCCAGGCAGCUGGGACAGAUUCAGCUCAAUUACACUUAGCCCUUAAGAGCUAUUUGAUCUAGCCAACUUGUCCAGGUUUUCUCCAUGUUUAACUGAGAGAGUCUAAACUCCCUGGGGAGUCAUUCAUUCACAUCUUUGCUUAGGAAUGGGUAAAUCUGGAAGUACUUGUCUAUUACCAUUGACUAUAUCUGAAGCCUGGAUAAGGCUUUAGCUUAGCUAAAUUUUUGAUGGCAAAGGUUAGGUGAAUCCUACUUCUGCUGUCCUGGCUGAAAAUUAUUUCUUCUUUUCAGGCAGGAAUCUGUAUUUUUUCAUCUUACAUACUGAGUUCUCAGGUAGAUCAUGCCUUCAGGAUCUCACCAUUGCUUGGCGCAACCUUCCAUCAAUCAAACACUGUUAUAGACAUGGUUAUUGCUGAUAUUCUUCAUUGCUAAAGAACUGCUUUGUGAACACAUCAUAAAAUUUAGUUAUUUAUGUUUGAAUUUCUGAAUAUUAACCUUUAUUUUUAAAGUGUAGCUGUAUAGGAUUUUCUGACAAACAUAUUAAGGAGUCUUUAAGGAGUCCCC